AAUUUAUUAUAUUAAUAUUUUUAUUUUUAUUUAUAUAUUUUAUAAAAAUAAUUUAUUUAUAUUUUGUUUAAGUAUUUAAUUAAAAUUAAUUUUUAGAUUUAUAGUUUAUUAGUAUUGUAAAAGAAUUUAUUAAAUUUUAAAAAGAAUUAAUUUAGUACCUUUUGUAUCAGGGUUGAUUAAAAUUUUUAAUUUAUUUUAAAUUCUCAAAAUUUACAGAGUUAAUUUUAUUAUUAAAUUAUUGUUAUAUAAAUAUUUAAAAAAUAAUAUUAGUUUUGAAAUUUAAUUCGUUGUAAUAUAUUUAGUUAUUUAAGAUAUAAAUUUAAUUUAAAAUUUUAAAAGUUUUAAUUAAUUUUAAUUAGUUUGAUUUUAAAAUUAAAUUAUUUUAGGGAUAAGCUUAAAAUUUUUAUAUAAUAUUUUUAUAAAUUUAAUAAUUAAUAGGAUUAGAAAUUUUUAAUUUAAGUUUGUAAAAAUUUAUUAUUUUAUUAAAUUAAAAUUUAUUAAAAUUUUAUUUAUUUUUUAUAUUAAAUUUUAUAAUUUAAUAAAUAAAUUAUAGUAAUAAUGAUUAAAUUAGUAUAAUUUAAAUUUAUAAAUUAUGAAUUCGGCAAUAUUUAUUUUCAUCUGUUUAACAAAAACAUUGUAUUAAGUUUAAUUUAAUAUAGGAUCUGCUCAAUGAAUUAUUUAAAUAGCUGCAGUAUUUUGACUGUGCAAAGGUAGCAUAAUAAUUAGUCUUUUAAUUGGGGACUUGAAUGAAAGAUUUGAUGAGAAAUAAACUUUAUUAUUUAUAUAAUUAAAAUUUUAUUUUUAAGUAAAAAAGCUUAAAUAAUUUAAAGGGACGAUAAGACCCUAUAAAACUUUAUAAAUAAAUAUUUUUAAAUUUUUGGUUUUAAUAAAUAUUUAAAUGUUUUUAUUUAUUUUAUUGGGGUGAUAAAAAAAAAUAAUUAACUUUUUUUAAAUUUUAACAUUAAUUAAUGAUAUUUUGAAUUAAAAUUUUUAAUUAAAAGAAAAAGUUACUUUAGGGAUAACAGCGUAAUUAAUUUUUAAAGUUCAAAUUUGAAAAUUAGUUUGCGACCUCGAUGUUGAAUUAAGAAUAAUUUUAGGUGCAAAAUUUUAAAUAUUAGGUCUGUUCGACCUUUAAAUUCUUACAUGAUUUGAGUUCAGACCGGUGUAAGCCAGGUUGGUUUCUAUCUUUUAAAUUGAUAAUUAUUUUAGUACGAAAGGAUUAAAUAAUUAAAUUAGAUUUUAUAAUAAUGAAUAAAAUUAAUUAUAUA
Molecule: ribosomal RNA, 1268 nt
Filed under: Laingia psammae
Lineage: Eukaryota; Metazoa; Arthropoda; Insecta; Hemiptera; Aphididae
Description: 16S ribosomal RNA
Source: RNAcentral